AGGAACCUCCUAAGAUGCAUUAUGUGCCCUUCUCUAACACAACAAUCCCCAAGUGGGUAUCAAUUUUCCCUCCUUUUUGGAUGAAGAAAUGGGCUCAGAGGCAACUGCCUGGAGAGACAUGGAGCAUGAACUGGAUUCGGGGUCCACAGAGCUUGGCCUUUCCACUGCACCAGGCUGCCUCCCAGCAUCUUCCAGCUUCUCCAAGACUUACUCUCCGGUUUGCAUUGCCUCAAAACAGCAAACUUGUCAUUAGAAGCAUGGAGCAAUGAUAGAAUUAGUUUACUGAGAAGGAAGCUGGUGUUUGCUUCCUGUGGUGCCUCAACUGGUGAGUGGUCAGGCCCUGGUGUGACAGCCUCCCUUCCUCCUCCUGCUGGUCAUGUGGUGAAAGGCAGGCCACUGCUGCCUUUCUGUGCACUCGACUCCAGUUUAAAGGACUCUUCUUCCCAUUGUGGGGCUGCAUGGGGAACACUGGGGUCCAGGGCCUGGGACCUGUUGGGGGCCAAGUCACCAGGACACUCUGGUUCUUGUACUGGUUCUGUCACUGCCUCAGAAGCACCCUGGCCACACACCUCCUUUGAGGCUUCAUUUUCAUCACCUAUAAAAUAGCAAAGUGAACUCAGUGAUCUCUCAAGCUAUCUUCAAGCUUCAAACUUGAACCUUGAACCUCUGUGCAUGUGUUGGCAGAUCUGAAACAGCUUAGGUACAUGGAGAAAACAACCCUUUUUGAGAGCUUUUAUACCCAAGGUGAUGUGCUGAGCUCUCAUCAUACAGUAUUUCAGUUAAGCCCCAUAACCCAAGGUGCAGUAGUAUUCCCCACUCUCUGAACCACUCCAGAAGAGAAAACUGAAGGCUGCAGAGCUUAAAACACUUACUUAAGGACUCAGCUGGGAAGUGGCAGCAUUAAGCCAAAGUCCCCUCUCAACCACAUGCCAUGUCCUGAGCCCCUCUGGCAGCACAGAGAUGCACCUAAUCCAGUCUGGGGCAGGUGAUGCAGAGGGAGCAGGAUGAGAUUCUGAGCUGAGUUCAGAGAGAGUCGUCAAAGUAACCAAGGGAGAUGAGUAUCCAAGGUGGAAGGCCCAGCCUGGACAAGACGCAGAAGCACCAAGAACAUGACCAGCUCUGGUCCGCGGCCCCCGAGUCCCCUCCAGCCUGACAUUCCUUCAUUCAGAACCACUCUUGUGUUUGGGGAAGCAGGCUGCUUUGUACUAGAAUUCCGAUCUGGUCUGUACACUGGCUGUCUUUUGUGGCAUUUAGCAAACCCGGGUCCCAGAACCUCAUGCCGUUUCUUUAUGCAGCUAGGUGGAGGUGAACCUGGCUCGUUAUGAGACCUAAUUGAUGUUGGGGAGGUUCAUAGAGUGCUUGGUGAAAGGUGCCCUGUAAAUCUGAGACACUGAAGACUUGUGCCACAUUCAUCAUAGUGUUUAAUGUCCUGAUUGAUCUCCAGGGUAAUCAAUUUCAUUUGCUUGUUUCAGGAUGAAUAAGCAGGUUGCUCCCCUAUGCUGUAGGCUAGGGCCCUGCAUAAAAUUAUGCCAGUGCUGUGCCUCUGGUACCUUGAUAGAUGAGGAGCCGGCACCCGAGAGGAGCACGGGGGGGUCCAGAACGGAAGCCUCGGUCAGCAGCUGUCUUGGAGCGAGACAGGAGCUCCUGAGCUGAGGGUCAUGGGUGGAAUGGACAUGUCACCCUGAAGAGCAUUCCAGGCCACCUGCCUCUGAUCGUGCAGCGUCUGCGAAAAGCCCCCCAGUCUGCGUGACUUGAUCUGAAAAGCCAAGGUCUGGGGAACAGCGGCUGUUACCCAGACCCACAGUGAGCUCUCAAAGGGUGGGCGAGCAAGGGGAAGCCCUUUCCCAGAGCUGCAGACCUCCCAGGGAGCGCGUGGGCUCCAUCUCCGCAGAUCCGCAGCUGCCCACCAGCCGUGACUCUGGGCUGUGGCACCCGGGGGAGCCGUGAAAGCCAAAGCUUUUACACUCCACCUCCCGCACUCCAGACCUGGAGGCCCCGCCCCACGCCCAUCCCCAGGCAGCAUUUCUGACACUGGCGGCCUGUUGAUGCUUGAAGGCCGCAGCGAUCGCUCAGGCAGACUUUGACCUCACAGCGUUUGGUAAAUACCCUGCGAUGACCGGUCUUAAAAGCGGUGCUCUUCUGUGGUCUUUCUAGCUGGGAAAACCGAGGAGGCGAGCAGGAGUGACUUGCCUGGCAGCUUGUCUCAUCACGCUCCUGCCUGCCCUGUGCUUUGCUCUGGGGUAGAGGUCCGCAGCAGAGGCAAGUACUGGCCAGCAGCCGGGGCUCACCCCUGGUACCGGGCAGGCAGGCCCAUCUCCCUGUUGGGGUGGCCAGCACCAGCCCAAGAGCUGGGGUGAUGGGAGCUCAGCAAAGGGGGUGUCGGAGGUCAGCAAGCUGGGCCUGGCCAAGGAUGGUAGUUGCUUGUCGUCCAGCAGAUGUAGACCCCUAGUUAGGGCCCCCCUGGUUCCUGCCUUACAGAUUAUAAAUCACGUGAUGCCCUGCAGCCCAUCACGUGCCGAAAGCUGAGCAUGACGGCUUGGUUGGGUGCUGCUGACUUCUCUGCUUCCAAAAGCUCUGACCUGGCAGCCCCAGCACGCACCACACUGCCAGGGGGGUCUGGGCUCCAGUGUUAGUGCCUCUCUUCUUAGUGUUUGACCUCACGAAAGAUUCUCCAAACUUUCUGAGCCUCAGGUUCUUCAUCUGUAAAAUGGGGCUAUGAUACCCACCUCACAGGGUCGUCUGAAGAUAAAAGGAGCCCACGUGUAUGGGAGCCUUUGCAGAGCACCUGGUAAUGGACGCUGCAGUUACACUGCUGGUGACCCACAGUGCCUCAGACACGCCCCAGAAACGGCUUGGCUGGGUGCUGCUGCCUUUAACGCCUGUUUUGACAAACGCUAACCUAUCUCCCCGUGAAUCAGGAGGGUGCUGCCUGCCUGCAUGUGGUGAUUUCCCUCCCUUUCUUCCAGUUCAGCCAUCUUUCCUGAGUGGCUCUGGGCCAAAGCCUGUGGCUUCAUGCAGGGUUCUGGGGCUCUAACAGGACUCAGGCCUGGUCCCCGUGCUCGAGCAGGGGAGGCAAGCAGGGAGGCAGGUGCUGACAAGCCACGGCUCUGCCCGGACAGAAAAAACCGUGGUCACAAACACAAAAUCUCUUGGAGGCUAAUCAGACAGGCUCAGCAGCCUGGAAGGACACCCCGGGAAAGGGCAGAACCAGAGGCUCGAUCUGGGCGCCUAGGAGGAAGAGCGGGCUUCAAGCGGGGUACCACACUUCACUUCGAACCUGCGGAAUCUGAGGCCCCCAAGAGAUGGGGCCCUGGGUCGGGGAGCUGUCAGCAAGGCAGGCAGAAUUCUGAGCUCCACUUUGGUGGGGGAUGAGGGAAGGGAAGGGGUUGGUCCAGAGUCACACGGUGGGGCAGCCUCUCACCUGGGGCCCGGGGCUCGU
Manis pentadactyla (Chinese pangolin) is the source of this 3439-nucleotide long non-coding RNA. RefSeq lists it as uncharacterized. Lineage: Eukaryota; Metazoa; Chordata; Mammalia; Pholidota; Manidae. The record is from RefSeq and is a predicted model, not a curated record. The transcript is spliced from 5 exons.